CAAGUGCUCCCUCCGUCCGGUAUUAAGUGUCGCAACUUUGCCUAGAUACGCAUGUACCCUACAUGCGUAUCUAGGCAAAGUUGCGACACUUAAUACCGGACGGAAGGAGUAUACU
Brachypodium distachyon (stiff brome) is the source of this 115-nucleotide non-coding RNA. NCBI's taxonomy places the organism in Eukaryota, Viridiplantae, Streptophyta, Magnoliopsida, Poales, Poaceae. The record is from Rfam.